GAACGAGCGAGAGAGAGCUGCUUCUCGAGCGAGUGGCGAACGGGUGAGUAACGCGUGAGGAACCUGCCUCAAAGAGGGGGACAACAGUUGGAAACGACUGCUAAUACCGCAUAAGCCCACGGUGCCGCAUGGCACAGAGGGAAAAGGAGCAAUCCGCUUUGAGAUGGCCUCGCGUCCGAUUAGCUAGUUGGUGAGGUAACGGCCCACCAAGGCGACGAUCGGUAGCCGGACUGAGAGGUUGAACGGCCACAUUGGGACUGAGACACGGCCCAGACUCCUACGGGAGGCAGCAGUGGGGAAUAUUGCACAAUGGGGGAAACCCUGAUGCAGCGACGCCGCGUGGAGGAAGAAGGUCUUCGGAUUGUAAACUCCUGUUGUUGGGGAAGAUAAUGACGGUACCCAACAAGGAAGUGACGGCUAACUACGUGCCAGCAGCCGCGGUAAAACGUAGGUCACAAGCGUUGUCCGGAACUACUGGGUGUAAAGGGAGCGCAGGCGGGAAGACAAGUUGGAAGUGAAAUCUAUGGGCUCAACCCAUAAACUGCUUUCAAAACUGUUUUUCUUGAGUAGUGCAGAGGUAGGCGGAAUUCCCGGUGUAGCGGUGGAAUGCGUAGAUAUCGGGAGG
This 625-nucleotide ribosomal RNA is filed under the name uncultured Lachnospiraceae bacterium. RNAcentral's name for it is "bacterial SSU rRNA". It matches the Rfam family "Bacterial small subunit ribosomal RNA", at positions 64 to 704 of the family's 1533-position model. Lineage: Bacteria; Bacillati; Bacillota; Clostridia; Lachnospirales; Lachnospiraceae. The record is from RNAcentral.